RNAcentral lists this non-coding RNA (23 nucleotides) under Drosophila melanogaster (fruit fly). The record is from RNAcentral. Lineage: Eukaryota; Metazoa; Arthropoda; Insecta; Diptera; Drosophilidae.
UGAGUGAGAGAAUUUUAUCAUGG